AGAGUUUGAUCCUGGCUCAGGAUGAACGCUAGCGACAGGCUUAACACAUGCAAGUCGAGGGGCAGCGGGGGUGAGAGCUUGCUCUCACCUGCCGGCGACCGGCGCACGGGUGAGUAACACGUAUGCAACCUGCCUGUCACUGGGGGAUAAGCGGAAGAAAUUCCGUCUAAUACCGCAUAAUAUCCUUGAGGGACAUCCCUUAGGGAUUAAAGGAGCGAUCCGGUGACAGAUGGGCAUGCGGCGCAUUAGCUUGUUGGCGGGGUAACGGCCCACCAAGGCGACGAUGCGUAGGGGUUCUGAGAGGAAGGUCCCCCACACUGGUACUGAGACACGGACCAGACUCCUACGGGAGGCAGCAGUGAGGAAUAUCGGUCAAUGGGCGAGAGCCUGAACCAGCCAAGUCGCGUGAGGGAAGACGGUCCUAUGGAUUGUAACCUCUUUUGUCGGGGAGCAAAGAGGCCACGUGUGGUCAAAAGUGAGAGUACCCGAAGAAAAAGCAUCGGCUAACUCCGUGCCAGCAGCCGCGGUAAUACGGAGGAUGCGAGCGUUAUCCGGAUUUAUUGGGUUUAAAGGGUGCGUAGGCGGGCUGAUAAGUCAGCGGUUAAAAUGCGGUGCUCAACGCCGUAGUGCCGUUGAAACUGUCGGUCUUGAGUGAGCGAGAAGUAUGCGGAAUGCGUGGUGUAGCGGUGAAAUGCAUAGAUAUCACGCAGAACUCCGAUUGCGAAGGCAGCAUACCGGCGCUCAACUGACGCUGAAGCACGAAAGCGUGGGGAGCAAACAGAAUUAGAUACCCUGGUAGUCCACGCCGUAAACGAUGAAUACUAGGACAGGGGCACAAAAGUGCUUUCUGUGGCCGCAGCUAACGCAAUAAGUAUUCCACCUGGGGAGAACGUUCGCAAGAAUGAAACUCAAAGGAAUGGACGGGGACCCGCACAAGCGGUGGAGCAUGUGGUUUAAUUCGAAGCAACGCGAAGAACCUUACCAGCCCUUGACAUCCUGCUGGCAGCCCGGUAAUGCGGGCUUUCCUACGGAACAGCAGAGACAGGUGGUGCAUGGUUGUCGUCAGCUCGUGUCGUGAGAUGUUGGGUUAAGUCCCGCAACGAGCGCAACCCUUAUCUUCAGUAGCCAGCAUUAAGGAUGGGCACUCUGGAGAGACUGCCAGGGACAACCUGGAGGAAGGUGGGGAUGACGUCAAAUCAUCAUGCCCCUUAUGACCAGGGCUACACACGUGCUACAAUGGCGUAAACAAAGGGAAGCGAACACGUGAGUGCAAGCGAAUCCCAAAAAUAACGUCUCAGUUCGGAUUGUAGUCUGCAACUCGACUACAUGAAGCUGGAAUCGCUAGUAAUCGCGAAUCAGAAUGUCGCGGUG
RNAcentral lists this ribosomal RNA (1371 nucleotides) under uncultured bacterium. RNAcentral describes it as "bacterial SSU rRNA". It matches the Rfam family "Bacterial small subunit ribosomal RNA", at positions 8 to 1364 of the family's 1533-position model. The record is from RNAcentral.